This 427-nucleotide ribosomal RNA is filed under the name uncultured bacterium. RNAcentral describes it as "partial 16S ribosomal RNA". It matches the Rfam family "Bacterial small subunit ribosomal RNA", at positions 354 to 796 of the family's 1533-position model. The record is from RNAcentral.
GUGAGGAAUAUUGCACAAUGGGCGAAAGCCUGAUGCAGCAACGCCGCGUGAGUGAUGAAGGCCUUUGGGUCGUAAAACUCUGUCCUUGGGGAAGAAAAAAAUGACGGUACCCUUGGAGGAAGCCCCGGCUAACUACGUGCCAGCAGCCGCGGUAAUACGUAGGGGGCAAGCGUUAUCCGGAAUUAUUGGGCGUAAAGAGUGAGUAGGUGGUUUUGUAAGCGUAGGGUGAAAGGCAGUAGCUCAACUAUUGUUAGCCCUGCGAACUGUGAGACUUGAGUGCAGGAGAGGAAAGUGGAAUUCCUAGUGUAGCGGUGAAAUGCGUAGAUAUUAGGAGGAACACCAGUGGCGAAGGCGACUUUCUGGACUGUAACUGACACUGAGGCACGAAAGCGUGGGUAGCAAACAGGAUUAGAAACCCUUGUAGUCC